UACGAAGGGGGCUAGCGUUGCUCGGAAUCACUGGGCGUAAAGGGUGCGUAGGCGGGUUUUUAAGUCAGGGGUGAAAUCCUGGAGCUCAACUCCAGAACUGCCUUUGAUACUGAAGAUCUUGAGUCCGGGAGAGGUGAGUGGAACUGCGAGUGUAGAGGUGAAAUUCGUAGAUAUUCGCAAGAACACCAGUGGCGAAGGCGGCUCACUGGCCCGGUACUGACGCUGAGGCACGAAAGCCAGGGGAGCAAACGGG
RNAcentral lists this ribosomal RNA (253 nucleotides) under uncultured bacterium. Its description in RNAcentral is "partial 16S ribosomal RNA". It matches the Rfam family "Bacterial small subunit ribosomal RNA", at positions 524 to 776 of the family's 1533-position model. The record is from RNAcentral.